GCCGGGCGCGGUGGCGCGCGCCUGUAGUCCCAGCUACUCGGGAGGCUGAGGCUGGAGGAUCGCUUGAGCUCAGGAGUUCUGGGCUGCAGUUCGCUAUGCCGAUCGGGUGUCCGCACUAAGUUCGGCAUCAAUAUGGUGACCUCCCGGGAGCGGGGGACCACCAGGUUGCCUAAGGAGGGGUGAACCGGCCCAGGUCGGAAACGGAGCAGGUCAAAACUCCCGUGCUGAUCAGUAGUGGGAUCGCGCCUGUGAAUAGCCACUGUACUCCAGCCUGGGCAACAUAGCGAGACCCCGUCUCU
This 299-nucleotide signal recognition particle RNA is filed under the name Bos mutus (wild yak). RNAcentral describes it as "Metazoan signal recognition particle RNA (ENSBMUG00000010614.1)". It matches the Rfam family "Metazoan signal recognition particle RNA". From Rfam's summary of the family: The signal recognition particle (SRP) is a universally conserved ribonucleoprotein. The record is from RNAcentral. Lineage: Eukaryota; Metazoa; Chordata; Mammalia; Artiodactyla; Bovidae.